AUUUAGAGGAAGUAAAAGUCGUAACAAGGUUUCCGUAGGUGAACCUGCGGAAGGAUCAUUACUAAGUAUAGGAGGGCCCUGGUCGGAAUCGCAAUUCCUCGGGGCCCAACCUCAAAUCUCUCUCUGCGUACGUCUCCCUGUUGCUUCCCCCGGGAGGGUGACAUGCCGCCCGGGGAAGGACCAUCCCUCCCGAGAGCACACGAUGCCAACAAACGCACCUGUAGAACUCACCACCCAAGCCGUCUGAUGGCCGGCGCACCGAUCGGGGCGCAGAGAGCCAGGACGUGAACUGCAAAUGAAUAGAAAAAACUUUCAACAACGGAUCUCUUGGUUCCCGCAUCGAUGAAGAACGCAGCGAAAUGCGAUAAGUAAUGUGAAUUGCAGAAUUCAGUGAAUCAUCGAAUCUUUGAACGCACAUUGCGCCCCCUGGCAUUCCGGGGGGCAUGCCUGUUCGAGCGUGUCCGAGAAGUAGGCUCACGCAGGGAAAUGCGUGGUGGUGUUGGCGGCGGCGGUCCCGACAGGGCGGCCACCCCGGCGGAAUCGAUGGGCGGAUGCCUGCCGCUUGGCAGAGCGUGAUAUUCUUUGCUAUCGCCUCGAGGGCGGCGAGGUGUCCAGCCCAUGCAUCCAUGCACGGCGGGGAGAAUGUGACGUUGGAACUCCUCGAAUCAGGUAGGGAUACCCGCUGAACUUAAGCAUAUCAAUAAGCGGAGGAAAAGAAACCAACAGGGAUUGCCCCAGUAACGGCGAGUGAAGCGGCAGCAGCUCAAAUUUGAA
This 774-nucleotide ribosomal RNA is filed under the name Helvella dryophila. RNAcentral's name for it is "eukaryotic LSU rRNA". The stretch from base 308 to 461 matches the Rfam family "5.8S ribosomal RNA". The record is from RNAcentral. Lineage: Eukaryota; Fungi; Ascomycota; Pezizomycetes; Pezizales; Helvellaceae.